Long non-coding RNA from Rosa chinensis, 943 nucleotides. RefSeq lists it as uncharacterized. The record is from RefSeq and is a predicted model, not a curated record. The transcript has 4 exons. Lineage: Eukaryota; Viridiplantae; Streptophyta; Magnoliopsida; Rosales; Rosaceae.
CCUCCGACUCACCAUUGCUCUCACCCUCGCUCCACCAUCGCUCUCACCCUCUCCACCUCGCUCCACCAUCACUCUCACCCUUAAUCCCCCUCACCCCCUCACCCUCUCCACCUCGCUCUCACUCGAUCUCAGCGGGUUUUUCUUACCCGAUCUCAGUCAACGAUUAAAGCAAGUUCGAUCUCAGCGGGUUUUUCUUACUCGAUCUCAGGAGCAACUGGAGUUCAAGAAAGCUGUCUAAGGCGGAAAUCAAGUUCUGUUCAUUGCUCCUAGCUGGGUUUGAUGCUUCUCGCGUCUUUAACUCUUUCCCUUCUCAAAUCUCAAAGCUUUCUUCCAGUUACGCCAGCCCUACAACUUCUUUGCCUUCCUCUUCAGUAAAGGAUCCUAAAUCUUGGUGAAAGAUCUGCGGUCGACGGUGUUUUAGGCAAAGGUAUGGCCAAGGUUGCUCAACCUGGUUCCCGCUGCUUUGAAGGUUGUUGGCAGAACGAUGAAGGUUAGCCCAGUCAAAAGGAAGACUCCUUCAGAAUUUAGAAUUUCUUGGCUGAGAAAGUUAGCAAAUGAUCAACUUUCCGAUCAUGACAUCAAGUUAUUUGCUGCUAUCUUCCAUGUUAUUUGAAUCGGCAGUUUUAUUGCACUUUGCUACUGCUGCCUAGUGGAGGCUUCUGGUGAUUCUUUUGAAAACUCAUGAUGUAGUUUUACUCCUGAUUUUGUGUGGCUUUUGACUUCUGCUCUCUGUUUUACUCAUGAUGAAUUACAUGAACAACUUCUAAUUAUGUGAAGUUUUGUUUUGUUUAAGUUUCUGUUGAUAUACGAAUUGCAAUUGAGCCUUGUUAUAUUGUUGUUGCAGUCUGGUACAUAAACUACCUAAGAGAACAAACUACAAUGUAUACCACUCCCACUGUUUGAUACUUUUAUAUGCUCACUUGACUGUAACAUGGUGAUCACU